GAUGAACGCUGGCGGCGUGCUUAACACAUGCAAGUCGAACGGGAAACCUUUUAUUGAAGCUUCGGCAGAUUUAGCUGGUUUCUAGUGGCGGACGGGUGAGUAACGCGUGGGUAACCUGCCUUAUACAGGGGGAUAACAGUCAGAAAUGGCUGCUAAUACCGCAUAAGCGCACAGAGCUGCAUGGCUCAGUGUGAAAAACUCCGGUGGUAUAAGAUGGACCCGCGUUGGAUUAGCUGGUUGGUGGGGUAACGGCCCACCAAGGCGACGAUCCAUAGCCGGCACUAGAGGGUGAACGGCCACAUUGGGACUGAGACACGGCCCAGACUCCUACGGGAGGCAGCAGUGGGGAAUAUUGCACAAUGGGGGAAACACUGAUGCAGCGACGCCGCGUGAAGGAAGAAGUAUCUCGGUAUGUAAACUUCUAUCAGCAGGGAAGAUAAUGACGGUACCUGACUAAGAAGCCCCGGCUAACUACGUG
This 478-nucleotide ribosomal RNA is filed under the name uncultured bacterium. RNAcentral's name for it is "partial 16S ribosomal RNA". It matches the Rfam family "Bacterial small subunit ribosomal RNA", at positions 28 to 507 of the family's 1533-position model. The record is from RNAcentral.